GAUGAACGCUGGCGGCGUGCCUAAUACAUGCAAGUCGAGCGAACAGACGAGGAGCUUGCUCCUCUGACGUUAGCGGCGGACGGGUGAGUAACACGUGGAUAACCUACCUAUAAGACUGGGAUAACUUCGGGAAACCGGAGCUAAUACCGGGUAAUAUAUUGAACCGCAUGGUUCAAUAGUGAAAGACGGUUUUGCUGUCACUUAUAGAUGGAUCCGCGCCGCAUUAGCUAGUUGGUAAGGUAACGGCUUACCAAGGCAACGAUGCGUAGCCGACCUGAGAGGGGGAUCGGCCACACUGGAACUGAGACAAGGUCCAGACUCCUACGGGAGGCAGCAGUAGGGAAUCUUCCGCAAUGGGCGAAAGCUUGACGGAGCAACGCCGCGUGAGUGAUGAAGGUCUUCGGAUCGUAAAACUCUGUUAUUAGGGAAGAACAAAUGUGUAAGUAACUAUGCACGUCUUGACGGUACCUAAUCAGAAAGCCACGGCUAACUACGUG
RNAcentral lists this ribosomal RNA (497 nucleotides) under uncultured bacterium. RNAcentral describes it as "partial 16S ribosomal RNA". It matches the Rfam family "Bacterial small subunit ribosomal RNA", at positions 28 to 507 of the family's 1533-position model. The record is from RNAcentral.